CACCUGCACUCCUGAAUUACAUGCUUUACAUCAUACGUGGAGAAUGUGAGAUGUCCGAGAUGAUACUCCAUCACAGGAUGAGCCAUAAACUAAUCAUCACGCUUCCAGGCUUGCCUUUUCAUAACAUAAGAUACUGGUUUGAAUCUAGAAGCAAGGAAGCUGGAUCUUUCAGCGCUGUGCUGAAAAUAAUUAGUCCAGACCCAGUAGCGAUGACUAAUUUGGGCUUGGCAUCUACAAAUACAGCUGUACCAUUUCUAUUUCAGAACAUCCAUGGGUCAGAAGCAGUUUAAGUUGCCUGCACCAAGACCUGCAGCAAGACACACAUGCACCAAGUUAAAGCACAAGCCUACCCUGUAACUCCAGAGGUCUUCUCACACACUGUUUUUGGCUGGUAUAAGGGUUAGCCCUGAAGGAACAAGAAGCCUGUACAAAUACUCUCAGAUUCAUCUAGAAUAACUUCAGUCUCCCAAAGAGAAUGUUGCAAGACAAUCAAGAGCAUGAACUGAUCUUGCUGUCUGCUAUCCCAGGAAAGCAGCAUCUCACUGCAGAGUUAGGUUUGGUUUCAAAAAGAGAAUUUGCUGCAGCUAUUGAUGGUGUAAAACUAGCUUUAUUUUUUAAAUAAGCUCUUUUUCAUUUUUCUGCUACCUGACAAAACCCUUUCAGAUUAUCAAAGGGAAAUGAUGAAGUCCAAAGAUGUAUAAGCAAAACUACUCACCUGUGAGUGUUGUUUGUGUUCUACCAAGGUGGAAAUUUUCAGGCCAAAGCACAGCCCCCUAGUUGUUAAGAAUCUGGUCCAAAUCAGUAAUCUAAGAUGGCUUGUACUGUCAUCAGAGGAAGACAUGUCUGACCAGCAGGUUAUCAGUCAAUUCAUCCCCAUUCUAAAAUGUGUAAGAUGGCUGUAAAAGUUGUGAUGAAAGGUUCUCCUACUGCAAGUGAAACGACAGCUCACAUAAAAUAAAAAGGGAUUUAGUAAAGGGUGGGGGGAGGAUUUACAUGAGAUAAUGAGCAAGGGAAAGAAAAUGAAAUGGAGAAUCUACAGCAAAAUGUCUCAACAAUCCAGGGUAAUUCAGUCAGUCUCAAAUGUUAUGUGACAUUUUUUCCCCACUCCCAACUUAAAGCCUACUUGGAGAUCCACUCCAGUUCCGCACUUGUCACCUUGAAAUGGCGUGACAGAAACACGCUGAUGUGCAUUUAAACAUACACGCACAUGCAGAGUGGUCCCACUUACGUAAGAGUGUAAAGCAGUUAAAGCUUCUUGCAAAGAAAUAGUGUUAUGGAUUUCAGAUAAUUUCAUGGCUCCUUGUGCACAUCAAUAAAGCAUCACUAAAGCCAUCUUUCUUGUGGAGUUUAAAAGAUGUUCAUAUGAAUGUAAUUAAAAUGGACAGCAUGAGCUUUAGAACAGUUACCAUAAGAACGUAGGUGAUAUAAAGAGGGUAUAAAGAUGAACAACCUUCAGAGGUUUUUCCUCAUGUGUUAAUGCUGACUCUAUGAAAUGCUUGAGCCAUCCAUAUAAAAAACAGUGAGAUAAUUACUAGGUUUACUACAAUGAGCACAGAAGAAUUGUUACCAAGCAGAUAAUUUUCAAUAGACAUUAGUUCAUUACAGCAUCAUGGAGCUUACUUCAGAUUUCAGUGAACUGUGUUUUCUAAAAGAGAUAGGGGAACAGGGGACAAAGCAAUUCAUAAACACUGCUCCCGAUCUCCCCAGCCCUCAUCCUGUUUUAAAUGUUACCAUUCAUUAUUAGCUUCUUUAUAAUCUCUCUUCUAUUUAUACUCAUCCCUCACAUCCCUCCUUACAGCCCCAGCCUCAGUGUGCCCAGCCAGACCCACCCUUGUGGUGGGAGGGGGCAUUUCAUCCCAGGGCCUCAAGUCCCUGUGACCACAUCCCUGCAGCAAGGGGAUGGACAGGAGCACAACGUGAUUCCUUUCCACCCUUCAUGCAGGGAGUGCUUUGCAUGCACUUAACCUUUCAAGCAUGAAAGGAGACUAAAAGGAAGAUGGAACAAAUCCCACUCAUUUCAGGUGUUGUCAUGCUGAAUUUGUAGACUUUAUUUGUGUAAUUAAGUCAUAGAAGCACUAGGUCUUAAGGGCAUCUGGUGCUGUCAGACUUGCACUGCUGAGUAAAGAGAAACAUAAAUCCUGUGUGCAUUUCAAAUUAAAAUUACUGUCAGCUGAAGAAAACUUUGUCACUCAAAGCUUAUGGGGCAGAAAUUUGAAGGAAUGGUUGCAGUUAAGAGAUCCAUCAUAGCAUGGCUUACAAAAAAAAGCAGAAACAACUUUAUGUAAAAAAAUAAAAUUGCUUAUGUCACACAAAAAAAGGAUUAUAUUAAUGGCAUUAUAUUUGAUAGGUAAAAAUGCGCCUUGGUGCUCUCUAUACUUUCAUAAAUGUUAAUGAUGCAAGUGGUAGCACUUCAUUUUUGUUGAUAAGCUUCAAAACAAGGAGGUAUGUCCAUUUCUGCUUGAAAAAGUCUGAUUCUCUGAGUCAAGUCUCUGGCUGGAUUGAAUAGACUGUGUGUGUAUGUGUUGCCACAGGGGGUUUCUUUAAAAUAGUUUCAUCAAUGAAUGAAGCAGUUUCUAGAGAGAGAACAAUAAAAUUUCCAUGUAAGAAACAUA
This is a long non-coding RNA of Pezoporus occidentalis (night parrot), 2612 nucleotides long. RefSeq lists it as uncharacterized. Lineage: Eukaryota; Metazoa; Chordata; Aves; Psittaciformes; Psittacidae. The transcript has 2 exons. The record is from RefSeq and is a predicted model, not a curated record.